RNAcentral lists this ribosomal RNA (768 nucleotides) under Opegaster ditrematis. RNAcentral describes it as "SSU rRNA". It matches the Rfam family "Eukaryotic small subunit ribosomal RNA", at positions 69 to 751 of the family's 1831-position model. The record is from RNAcentral. Lineage: Eukaryota; Metazoa; Platyhelminthes; Trematoda; Plagiorchiida; Opecoelidae.
ACCUUGAAACGGUGAAACCGCGAACGGCUCAUUAAAUCAGCUAUGGUUCCUUGGAUCGUAUAUACUACAUGGAUAACUGUAGUAAUUCUAGAGCUAAUACAUGCAACUAUGCCCUGACCCGCGAGGGAACGGGUGCAUUUAUUAGAACAGAACCAACCGGUCAUGGCUUCGGUCGUGGUCGACUUGCUCUGUGAUGACUCUGGAUAACUUUACCGAUCGCAGUCGGCCUUGUGUCGGCGAUGGAUCUUUCAAAUGUCUGUCUUAUCAAUUUUCGAUGGUAGGUGACCUGCCUACCACGGUGAUAACGGGUAACGGGGAAUCAGGGUUCGAUUCCGGAGAGGGAGCCUGAGAGACGGCUACCACUUCCAAGGAAGGCAGCAGGCGCGCAAAUUACCCAAUCCCAGAACGGGGAGGUAGUGACGAAAAAUACGGAUACGGGACUCGACAAGAGGCUCCGUAAUUCGAAUGAGUACAAUUCAAAUCCUUUAACGAGGAUCAACUGGAGGGCAAGUCUGGUGCCAGCAGCCGCGGUAACUCCAGCUCCAGUGGCAUAUAUUAAAGUUGUUGCAGUUAAAAAGCUCGUAGUUGGAUCUGGGUCGGAUGGCUGUGCGCCGUUCUUGCUUUCUCGGUCUGGUUUCGAUCGGAUCGGGUUGGUGAGUCGGUGUUGCGGUUGUUCGGUCUUUCUGCUGUGUCUGUGAAAACAGGUGCUGGCCUCGGUCGGCAUGCUUCCGUAUGCUCUUCAUCGGGUGUCGGGGGCGGACGGCAUGU